AGCGAACGCCUUGGCGGCAGGCCUAACACAUGCAAGUCGAGCGCUCAUCUUCGGAUGGGAGCGGCGCACGGUUGUGAGUAACACGUGGGAACCUACCUUGAAGUAUGGAAUAACUGAGGGAAACUUCAGCUAACGUACCGUAUACGCCCUACGGGGGAAAGAUUUAUCGCUUCAAGACGGGCCCGCGUUGGAUUAUUGCUAGUUGGUGAGGUAAUGGCUCACCAAGGCGACGAUCCAUAGCUGAUUUGAGAGAAUGACCUCAGCCACACUGGGACUGAGACACGGCCCAGACUCCUACGGGAGGCAGCAGUGGGGAAUAAUUUGGACAAUGGGCGCAAGCCUGAUCCAGCCAUGCCGCGUGAGUGAUGAAGGCCUUCGGGUCAUGUAAAGCUCUUUCAGAUGGGACGAUGAUGACGGUACCAUCAGAAGAAGCCCCGGCUAACAAUUCGUGCCAGCAGCCGCGGUAAUACGAAGGGGGCUAGCGUUGUUCGGAAUUACUGGGCGUUAAAAGCGCGCGUAGGCGGCUUUGUCAGUCAGGGGUGAAAUCCCGGGGCUUAACCUCGGAACCGUGCCUUUGAUACUGCAAGGCUUGAGUCUGUGAGAGGAUGGUGGAAUACCCAGUGUAGAGGCGUGAAAUUCGU
RNAcentral lists this ribosomal RNA (641 nucleotides) under uncultured Alphaproteobacteria bacterium. RNAcentral's name for it is "bacterial SSU rRNA". It matches the Rfam family "Bacterial small subunit ribosomal RNA", at positions 28 to 691 of the family's 1533-position model. Lineage: Bacteria; Pseudomonadati; Pseudomonadota; Alphaproteobacteria. The record is from RNAcentral.